AGACCCGAAACCCGGUGAUCUAGCCAUGGGCAGGUUGAAGGUUGGGUAACACUAACUGGAGGACCGAACCGACUAAUGUUGAAAAAUUAGCGGAUGACUUGUGGCUGGGGGUGAAAGGCCAAUCAAACCGGGAGAUAGCUGGUUCUCCCCGAAAGCUAUUUAGGUAGCGCCUCGUGAAUUCAUCUCCGGGGGUAGAGCACUGUUUCGGCAAGGGGGUCAUCCCGACUUACCAACCCGAUGCAAACUGCGAAUACCGGAGAAUGUUAUCACGGGAGACACACGGCGGGUGCUAACGUCCGUCGUGAAGAGGGAAACAACCCAGACCGCCAGCUAAGGUCCCAAAGUCAUGGUUAAGUGGGAAACGAUGUGGGAAGGCCCAGACAGCCAGGAUGUUGGCUUAGAAGCAGCCAUCAUUUAAAGAAAGCGUAAUAGCUCACUGGUCGAGUCGGCCUGCGCGGAAGAUGUAACGGGGCUAAACCAUGCACCGAAGCUGCGGCAGCGACACUGUGUGUUGUUGGGUAGGGGAGCGUUCUGUAAGCCUGUGAAGGUGUGCUGUGAGGCAUGCUGGAGGUAUCAGAAGUGCGAAUGCUGACAUAAGUAACGAUAAAGCGGGUGAAAAGCCCGCUCGCCGGAAGACCAAGGGUUCCUGUCCAACGUUAAUCGGGGCAGGGUGAGUCGACCCCUAAGGCGAGGCCGAAAGGCGUAGUCGAUGGGAAACAGGUUAAUAUUCCUGUACUUGGUGUUACUGCGAAGGGGGGACGGAGAAGGCUAUGUUGGCCGGGCGACGGUUGUCCCGGUUUAAGCGUGUAGGCUGGUUUUCCAGGCAAAUCCGGAAAAUCAAGGCUGAGGCGUGAUGACGAGGCACUACGGUGCUGAAGCAACAAAUGCCCUGCUUCCAGGAAAAGCCUCUAAGCAUCAGGUAACAUCAAAUCGUACCCCAAACCGACACAGGUGGUCAGGUAGAGAAUACCAAGGCGCUUGAGAGAACUCGGGUGAAGGAACUAGGCAAAAUGGUGCCGUAACUUCGGGAGAAGGCACGCUGAUAUGUAGGUGAAGUCCCUCGCGGAUGGAGCUGAAAUCAGUCGAAGAUACCAGCUGGCUGCAACUGUUUAUUAAAAACACAGCACUGUGCAAACACGAAAGUGGACGUAUACGGUGUGACGCCUGCCCGGUGCCGGAAGGUUAAUUGAUGGGGUCAGCGCAAGCGAAGCUCUUGAUCGAAGCCCCGGUAAACGGCGGCCGUAACUAUAACGGUCCUAAGGUAGCGAAAUUCCUUGUCGGGUAAGUUCCGACCUGCACGAAUGGCGUAAUGAUGGCCAGGCUGUCUCCACCCGAGACUCAGUGAAAUUGAACUCGCUGUGAAGAUGCAGUGUACCCGCGGCAAGACGGAAAGACCCCGUGAACCUUUACUAUAGCUUGACACUGAACAUUGAGCCUUGAUGUGUAGGAUAGGUGGGAGGCUUUGA
This 1466-nucleotide ribosomal RNA is filed under the name Escherichia coli. Its description in RNAcentral is "partial 23S ribosomal RNA". It matches the Rfam family "Bacterial large subunit ribosomal RNA", at positions 711 to 2160 of the family's 2925-position model. Lineage: Bacteria; Pseudomonadati; Pseudomonadota; Gammaproteobacteria; Enterobacterales; Enterobacteriaceae. The record is from RNAcentral.